AGGUUGGGAACUACUGCUCCAAAGGCACCAGAUUCCAUCUGAUCUUGGAAGCUAAGCAGGGGCAGGUCCAAAUAGUAUUUGGAUGGAAGACCACCAAUGAAUAUCAGGUGCUGUAGGUU
Molecule: ribosomal RNA, 119 nt
Filed under: Anolis carolinensis (green anole)
Lineage: Eukaryota; Metazoa; Chordata; Lepidosauria; Squamata; Anolidae
Source: RNAcentral